UCCUUUUUAUAGCAUUUCCAAUAAGAAGCAAGAACGUAACAAACUCAAACACGUGCAAAGAUGGCCUUAUCGGUUUACUUUAUCUUUUUCCUACUUGCUACAACUGUUAUCUGCUACCCUUCUUUUCUCGAAUGGAAGAAACGGAGUAACUUCAAAUCUCCUCCGAGCUGUAAACGUGAUUCAGAUUGCAAAAAGGACGAAUGGUGUGAUUUUCGUUGUUCUGGUGUUAUUCUGCUUAACUGUAGUGGAACAUGUGUAAAACGCUAAUGAUAUUUUAUGUAUUUGACGAAAGUAAUAA
Molecule: long non-coding RNA, 298 nt
Organism: Centruroides sculpturatus (bark scorpion)
Lineage: Eukaryota; Metazoa; Arthropoda; Arachnida; Scorpiones; Buthidae
Exons: 4
Source: RefSeq, a predicted model, not a curated record